UAGGGAAUCUUCCGCAAUGGGCGAAAGCCUGACGGAGCAACGCCGCGUGAGUGAUGAAGGUCUUCGGAUCGUAAAACUCUGUUAUUAGGGAAGAACAAAUGUGUAAGUAACUAUGCACGUCUUGACGGUACCUAAUCAGAAAGCCACGGCUAACUACGUGCCAGCAGCCGCGGUAAUACGUAGGUGGCAAGCGUUAUCCGGAAUUAUUGGGCGUAAAGCGCGCGUAGGCGGUUUUUUAAGUCUGAUGUGAAAGCCCACGGCUCAACCGUGGAGGGUCAUUGGAAACUUGAAAGCUUGAGUGCAGAAGAGGAAAGUGGAAUUCCAUGUGUAGCGGUGAAAUGCGCAGAGAUAUAGAGGAACACCAGUGGCGAAGGCGACUUUCUGGUCUGUAACUGACGCUGAUGUGCGAAAGCGUGGGGAUCAAACAGG
RNAcentral lists this ribosomal RNA (429 nucleotides) under Actinomycetes bacterium. Its description in RNAcentral is "Actinobacteria bacterium partial 16S ribosomal RNA". It matches the Rfam family "Bacterial small subunit ribosomal RNA", at positions 355 to 776 of the family's 1533-position model. The record is from RNAcentral. Lineage: Bacteria; Bacillati; Actinomycetota; Actinomycetes.